GCGCCCAUAGCUCAAUUGGACAGAGCGUUUGACUACGAAUCAAAAGGCUGCAGGUUCGAGUCCUGCUGGGCGCA
RNAcentral lists this transfer RNA (74 nucleotides) under Pseudomonadota bacterium. RNAcentral's name for it is "tRNA-Arg". It matches the Rfam family "tRNA". From Rfam's summary of the family: Transfer RNA (tRNA) molecules are approximately 80 nucleotides in length. Their secondary structure includes four short double-helical elements and three loops (D, anti-codon, and T loops). RNAcentral also lists the same sequence under 1 other name. Lineage: Bacteria; Pseudomonadati; Pseudomonadota. The record is from RNAcentral.